UACGGGGGGAGCAAGCGUUGUUCGGAUUUACUGGGCGUAAAGGGCGCGUAGGCGGCGUGACAAGUCACUUGUGAAAUCUCCGGGCUUAACUCGGAACGGUCAAGUGAUACUGUCGUGCUAGAGUACAGAAGGGGCAACUGGAAUUCUCGGUGUAGCGGUGAAAUGCGUAGAUAUCGAGAGGAACACCGGUGGCGAAGGCGGCCUUCUGGACAGCGACUGACGCUGAGACGCGAAAGCGUGGGGAGCAAACAGG
Molecule: ribosomal RNA, 253 nt
Filed under: uncultured bacterium
Lineage: Bacteria
Description: partial 16S ribosomal RNA
Rfam family: Bacterial small subunit ribosomal RNA
Source: RNAcentral